GAGCCAUUAGCUCAGCUGGUAGAGCAUCUGACUUUUAAUCAGAGGGUCAGAGGUUCGAGUCCUCUAUGGCUCA
This 73-nucleotide transfer RNA is filed under the name Staphylococcus aureus. Its description in RNAcentral is "tRNA-Lys". It matches the Rfam family "tRNA". From Rfam's summary of the family: Transfer RNA (tRNA) molecules are approximately 80 nucleotides in length. Their secondary structure includes four short double-helical elements and three loops (D, anti-codon, and T loops). Lineage: Bacteria; Bacillati; Bacillota; Bacilli; Caryophanales; Staphylococcaceae. The record is from RNAcentral.